CGAGGGGCGGGGCCGGGCCGGCCGGGAGUGCGGGUCGUUCUGCGCGUGCUGCCGGACGAGGCUCCCGCCGCCGACUGACCCGCGCUCCGCCCCGUAACCGGGCCGAGAGGAAGGAAGAGGGAGAGAGGGUUGGAAACAUCAAUGAUGAGAAUCAUUGAUUGUCUGCCUCCUGCAUGCCCCCUACUGGAGAUGGAGCCUGCAACCCAGGCACCCUGGUAGCUAAUGUCAGAAGAAAGUGACUCUCUGAGAACUAGCCCUUCUGUGGCCUCACUUUCCGAAAAUGAGCUGCCACCAGCACCCAAGCCUCCUGGCUACGUGUGCUCGCUGACGGAAGAACUGGUCGCCAAGGCCAGGGAAGAGCUGCAGGAGAAGCCGGAGUGGAGACUCCGAGACGCGCAGGCCCUCCGGGACAUGGUGCGGAAGGAGUGCCCGGGCCUGCGCACCGCUCUGGACGACGCCUUCCUGCUGCGCUUCCUCCGGGCCCGCAAGUUUGAUUACGACCGGGCCCUGCAGCUCCUGAUCAACUACCACGGCUGCAGGAGAAGUUGGCCCGAGGUCUUCCAGAACCUGAAGCCGUCGGCCUUAAAAGAGGUCCUCGCUUCCGGAUUCCUCACCGUGCUGCCCCACACAGACCCGCGGGGCUGCCAUAUCCUCUGCAUCCGCCCAGACAGAUGGAUACCGAGCAGCUAUCCAAUCACUGAAAACAUCCGAGUCAUAUACUUGACGUUGGAAAAGCUCAUUCAAUCUGAAGAGACCCAAGUGAAUGGAAUUGUAAUUCUUGCAGACUACAAAGGAGUGAGCUUAUCAAAAGCAUCUCACUUUGGCCCUUUUAUAGCCAAAAAGGUGAUUGGCAUCCUUCAGGAUGGCUUCCCCAUUCGGAUAAAAGCGGUCCAUAUCGUGAAUGAACCUCGAAUAUUUAAAGGCAUUUUUGCCAUCAUAAAACCAUUUCUGAAGGAGAAAAUAGCAAACAGAUUUUUCCUCCACGGGUCUGACCUGAACUCUCUCCACACAAACCUUCCAAAAAGUAUUCUCCCCAAGGAGUACGGGGGCACGGCUGGCGAGCUGGACAUUGCUGCCUGGAACGCGGUGCUGCUGGCCUCGGAGGAGGACUUUGUGAGAGAGUUCUGCCAGCCUGUCCCCGCCUGCGACAGCAUCCUGGGGCGGGCCCUGCUGCCCGAGGAGCUGACCUCAGAUGCGCAGUGUGAUGACUCCAUGCGGGCUGUGAAAUCACAGCUGUACUCCUGCUAUUAGCCAGUCCCUUGUGAGCACCACCAGCUUUAAGUCCUUUCCUUUUUUUCUUUGGGGAGGCACAGGAGAAUUUUAGGUGCCAUGGAUUCUUGCUCCUUGUAAUUAAGCUGCAGCACGGAGGAAAAGCUGAGCGUGAGCGAAAGGGCAUGCCCUUGAUCACUUGAAUUAUUCCAUGAAGACAUGGAAAACAUUCCCAGUGAUUCCCAAAUUUGUGGAAUCCCAGCUUGCAACCAUUAAUCUGGAAGUUGUUUCUGGUUCUUAAAUAUCUCAAAGCAGGAAGAAUGAGGACCAAAGUCACUUUGAUCCCAUCUUCAGGAGAAAACAACCCGAUUGGCCAGUCAGCACACUCCUAUGAAACACUUGGGUCCAGCCUGCAUGGUGGCCACAUGUAAGACUUUAGGAGUUUGUGUCUCUCACAUGAACCCUAACUCCAGACUUCAAUUGCUCAUCAGGAAUCUACAAGUCUUCGGCCCAGGUACCUGUUGCCAUCAUGGGUUUGGAAAGCACUUUAUCUGAAUCGGGCACACAGCGGGACGUCAGCAGCUUGACCAGGGACUUCCUGAUCAAGUUUGGGAGCCAAGACUUCAAGCACCUGUGGGAUUCAUUGGUUGAAUCUUGCAGUAGAAACUAGUUUUCCCAAAUCCAUAAAGCCUUAGUCUGGUUCUCAAUAGAAUCAUGCAAGGUCCUAGAAGUAUACAAUUUUAUUCAACCUAAAAUACUGGAGGCCAGGCCUGUGUAGCUAAAAGAAUGCUGGCCUAAGAAUUAAGAGACCUGAGCUCCAGCCUCAGAUGUGUGGCCAUGGAUAAGACCUGGGCCUCUGUGAGCCUCAGUUUCCUCAUCUGUAAAAUGAUGCUCAAUGAAAUGACACAUAGGGCCCUUGGGGCUGCUGAGGUUCUGGGGUUUGAUUUAGCUAUUGGAUGUUAGACAUUUCUUUUCCGCCUAGAACAGCGGUUCUCAACCUGUGGGUCACGACCCCUUUGGGGGUCGAACGACCCUUUCACAGGGGUCGCCUAAGACCAUCGGAAAACACAUAUAUAAUUACAUAUUGUUUUUGUGAUUAAUCACUAUGCUUUAAUUAUGUUCAAUUUGUAACAAUGAAAUUGGGGGGCCUUCCUAAUGCCGCGACCCUUUAAUACAGUUCCUCAUGUUGUGGUGACCCCCAACCAUAAAAUUAUUUUCGUUGCUACUUCAUAACUGUAAUUUUGCUACUGGUAUGAAUCGUAAUGUAAAUAUCUGAUAUGCAGGAUGUAUUUUCAGGGGUCGCGACCCACAGGUUGAGAACCGCUGCCUAGAUGCACGUGGCUGGAUCCUGUUUUCCGUGGUACACCUGGGCCUUUCCAAGAGGCAUGUGUCAGUCACCAUUUGGCCCUGCCUUUAAAGAAACAAAGGAGCGCGCACUCUGCCCCAGAGACAAAGCCCAGGCCCUACGGUGGGCCUUGUGUGUUGGUGAUGACUCAGCUGAGAAACGCUCCUGCAGGAUGCUGUACCUUCUCUGUUGGCUUCUGAUGACUCGACAGGUAAGUACUCACAUUGCACCAUCGCUCUUCCGGUCAGCCUUCCCGGAGGAGCCUGUGGAGCUUAAGCUCAGUCUGUUUCUCACAUCUGGAAAAAUGGAGCUUAAGGCUCCAACCCUUCUCACCUGAUAGCAGUGUUACAAGGUAGUUAGGACGCACUUUAUAAGCCACUGGAGUUACUAUGUUAUGAGGCAGCAUUUUCUUGUUUCUUUUCUAAAAUACCUUAGUUUCCCUAUUGCCCACUCUUUACAUAGAACUGGUUUGGCAUUCCUAAAAUAAAUGGCAGCAAAUGUUUCACAUUAUUGCAUUUAUAGCUGAGUAAUAAAAUCAUUUAAGGUGCCACUUUACUGGGAAAAAAAUGUUUUUAAUUAAAUGUUCACCCUCUUACCUGAUAAGGUGCCAGCCAUUAGGGAUACAGUGACCUAGUAAAAUACUAGCUAGUGCCUUAGCGGAUUACUAACUUUCCUUUAUUAAUGAUGGGUAAGCUUAGAGAGCCAGCUGACUCCCCUGUAGGUCCAAGCAGUCUCUAGUUUAUCUUGUCUCCUACAUCCUAGUAGGCCAAGGGACAAUGGGACCUAACUGAAGAAAACUAAGUCAGCCUGGGGUUUGUUUCUGUGUAACUGAGGGCAGAUCACUAAGUUCUCUAAGUGUUGGUUUGACCUGGAAAAGAGAGAAUCACCACCACCUUGCAGGGGUGUGGACAAUGCCUGUUCAUUGCUUGGUACAUGUAGGUAUUUAUGUGGUAGUCAUGACUGUUCUUCACCCGAGGUUACAGGCAUCGCGUGGUGAGUCACCCAGCAGGACUUAGAACAUCACUGAGUAGGUAACCCGAUGGAUACAAUAGACCAACACAAAGGAGUAAAGAGAUGAAGUGCUGCUCCCGUUAGUAAGCACAAGCCUGGUAUCUGCCAUCCAUCUGCAAAGAUCAAAUGCAUGACUCAUAUUAUUGAAUACUCAUUUUAGCUUAAUGUGUAAAAAGAAAAAUACAGCCAAGCAAGAACUUGGACCAAAAAGCUGUCCUGGUUUAAAUUACGCCUGAGUUAGGAUUGGGUCCAGAACAUCAAAAGCACUGACAGCCAGGUCCAUGGUCAUUCUUUGGCAGUACCUUUGGUUGUCAAGAGAAAGUUAUUUCCCAGCGAAAUGAGUACCUUGUAACAACCACCUAGAAAGUAAAUAGCCAGGAUGGGCCUACAAGCUUUUUCCCAGACGUAACUAGGUCUCGCAGAUGUUGCCUUUGAUGAAUCCCUACAGCAUACUGCGGACCUCAAAGCCAGGGCCUGAUCGGUAGUCCUGGGAGACAGACAGGGACAGGGCUGUGAGUGGUGAUGAAACACUGGGCGACUCAUCGGGGUGAGAUGACACCAUGAGGUCUGACGAUUCAGAAUACCCCCCUGCUUCACAGUCUGACCCUGGGCUUAGGCAAGAUGCCGAUGUCUAUGCUUGUUUGUGAUUCAGCACUCACGUGUGUAAUCACUUCAAUCUUGGCUACACUACUGGGCUUCCAACUUAAAACCAUGCACAGCAGGGACACUGCCCCCUAAUUUUUAAACAAAAUUUGUUUUUUUAAAUUAAAUAUCAAAGUUUCUAUCGUGAUAAAAAAUUUAAAAACUUUAUUGGACUUUAUUAAACCUAUGUUAUAGUUUAGUAUUGCUUUUAUUUUGAAUUAUGUAAGGUGGGGAGGGGGGUGUACCAUGUUUCUGAAGUUUAGGACCUUUAAUGGGUUUAAUCUGGGUGGCCCUGCUGUUAAGGGAAGUGGGGUAUCUGCUUUACACUGGAAAAGGGCUAAACCUGCCCUGUGUGCCCCCCAAAUCCUUUACAACCUUAUCUCUGUACCCCAACAUUAACCACUGGUUUAAAAGAUGGUGGUUCCAACAAUUCCUAUUAUCAAGCCGUACUUCCCUACCCCCCACACCUGCACCCCAACCGAGUGUGUGCCCUCUAUGUUCCCUGUGUUUAAUUCUGUAAGAACACCUCAAAUCUAGCCUGCACUAGAUUUUGGCUGAAAAUCUAUGACUUUGAAUAUUGUCCAGUAGCUUUUUAGCCCAUAUUCAGAUUAUCAGCUACUACCAGAGUGCUUAAGGCGGGUUAAGCACUUGACAAAGUAGCUUUACUCUCUAAACAAUCUUAUGUACUAGGUACUAUCUUUUGUUCAAAGAAAACAAUGAGGCUCAGGCAGAUAGUUAUCACCCAGGGUCAUAAAGCUUAGUAUAUCCUCAAUAAAUAUUAGCUGUUUGACAGUAGAAAAUGGCAAAACUGAUGCAAACCCAAUCAGACUUCCAAGCAUAUGCUCUUGGCCAUUCUUAAGGGACCACACCUCCAUCCUUCUAACACCCUCUUCCUGCCCCUCACGUACAUAUCAAACCCAGGUGUUUAAACCAGAAUCACUCGGGAAUCUACUUCUCCCCCCGUAUCUAAUCACCUGCCAAUUUUUAAAUUUUAAUUACUAAGCAGCUCCGAGCUGUCAAUUUCUCUGCUUCCUCAUGUUUACUUCUGUUUCAAAUCUUACAUGGACUACCUGGUCUUCUCUCUCUAAACCCAUUCUCUAUGUAUACAGUGAAUGAAGACACAAUUUAUUCAUGCCACUAUGAAUAUGCUCCCCACUGCCCUCAGCGUAAGGCCCAAACGCUUUAGUGUGGUUUAUAAAGCCCUUCCUAACCUAGUCCCUGCCCGUUUCUCCCCCGUCCAGCUUUAUUAAACAAGUCUUAAAAAAUCUCCCUGCCGUGACCGGUUUGGCUCAGUGGAUCGAGCGUCGGCCUACAGACUGAGGGGUCCUAGGUUCUAUUCUGGUCGAGGGCAUGUACCUUGGUGGCGGGCACAUCCCCAUAGGGGGGUGUGCAGGAGGCAGCAGAUCGAUGUUUCUCUCUCAUUGAUGUUUCUGGCUCUCUGUCCCUCUCCCUUCCUCUCUGUAAAAAAAUCAAUAAAAUAUUUUUUAAAAAAAAUCUCCCUGCCUUUAACAUGCAGACUCGUCUACUCUCCAGCAAUGCCAUCCCACUUCCCAUCUCUUAGCUAACUCCUAACAAUUCUUGGCUUAGACGUCACUUUUUCCAGGAAGCCUACCAUGACACCCCCACCCGGGCACCUUUGAAUUCCUGUCACAGGACUAGUCACACCACAUUGUACCAGUUGUCAGCUCAUUUUCACCCUCUUGGAAACUGUGAGUCAAGAUGGUAGAGCGACUGUCUGUCAUUCUUAAAGCUGUAUCCCAGAACCUGAAGACCUGUCUCCUUGCCUGCUCCCUCUCCAGGAGGGUUCCCGCCAGUCCCUGCCCCUGCCUCUCACCUACCCAAGCAUCUUGCCUAGAGAAGGUACCUAUUGGUACACUUUUUGAAUGAGUUCAAGACUUUACUCACCAGCCUUAACUUUCAGAAGGAAUAGGUGCAUUCUGCUGAUAAAUCUGACUGCCUAUAUAAGUCUAAAAAAUAUAGAAUGGCUGCUAAUUCAUAAAAGCUGUUAAAGAAAGGGCCUUAAAAGCCUAAGUCUAUUUUAAUCAAAUACCUUAUAGUGCAAAUAUAGUAAAUUCACAUGCAUUUUACUUUUACAUACUCAUAACAAAAUAAUUACAUAGACUAAAGUUGCAGUUUUUUCCUAAGUGAGUCCUCAUUUUAACCAAACCUACAAAGCAUUUAUUGAAAUUAAUGUUCUGGCAAAGCCACAUACUUGAAUCAAGCAGUGUCAAUGCUGUAGUAUAAAAAAAAAAUGAAGUCUCAAGAUGCAGAAGCAGUAGCCCUAUCAGCAACCCCUCUUCUGGGGAAGGACCCACACACAUACUCCUUCGCCCAAUUACUAUGAUGCUAUACCUCUUACGAGUUUACGGACUGAACAGAAUGCUUGUAUCAACAAGUAAAGACUUUCACAGAGGAAAACUGUCAUAGAAAUACAUUAUUACUUUUUUUUCCUGCUCCUUAAGGAUAUUGCAAUAGAAAUAUAUUAACGAUGGCCUCAAAUAUCCAAUAUUUUUCUAUUUUCUAUUUUAAAUCAAAGUUGUAGGAACCUACAGGUCUUAAUAAAGAACUCUCUUCACAGCACAGCUGUAGUUCACUUUACAAGGCAAAAAUGUUCCCUUUGCACUAUAUCCUUAAAAAUAA
Myotis daubentonii (Daubenton's bat) is the source of this 6847-nucleotide RNA transcript. It is a transcript of the gene named alpha tocopherol transfer protein like, with no coding region annotated. Lineage: Eukaryota; Metazoa; Chordata; Mammalia; Chiroptera; Vespertilionidae. The record is from RefSeq and is a predicted model, not a curated record. The transcript has 7 exons.